GAAGCCCGGGCGGGGCCAUGCCGAAGCCGGCCUCUCUUGCCGCGUGCGGUAGGACCGCGGCAAGGCCGCGCGUGGGCGACCGUCGCCGAGCAGCGACAGCUCCACCGCCUCCUCCCCCUCCCCCAUGGACGAGCUCAAGCCGGGGGAGCGCGUCUCCGAGCCGAAGGCCCGUGGGGGACGCUGAUCCACGUGCGGCGGAGACG
Molecule: long non-coding RNA, 203 nt
Filed under: Sorghum bicolor (sorghum)
Lineage: Eukaryota; Viridiplantae; Streptophyta; Magnoliopsida; Poales; Poaceae
Description: long non-coding RNA (SBIC_LNC004334)
Source: RNAcentral